GGGGUUGAAAAAGAAAAAGGGUGCCCGGAGAGAUUAGCUCAUCUCCUGCCUACAUACCUCAUCUGGUAUGAGGAUCAGGACGACGUAGUUCCCCUAAACAGGGAAAGAACUUCUAUCCUAACCAGAGACAAAUGGAGGAUAACAAUCUACUAGGGAGACUACGACUCGAGCCUAGAAGUUGUCAUGCAUAAGAUCCCUAUGUUGAGGUUUCUAUCCUAACUUGCACAGGAAGAAAGCUAUCCUAAACAGCAC
RNAcentral lists this long non-coding RNA (252 nucleotides) under Lathyrus oleraceus (garden pea). RNAcentral describes it as "Pisum sativum (pea) long non-coding RNA (PSAT_LNC018471)". Lineage: Eukaryota; Viridiplantae; Streptophyta; Magnoliopsida; Fabales; Fabaceae. The record is from RNAcentral.